This 497-nucleotide ribosomal RNA is filed under the name uncultured bacterium. RNAcentral describes it as "partial 16S ribosomal RNA". It matches the Rfam family "Bacterial small subunit ribosomal RNA", at positions 28 to 507 of the family's 1533-position model. The record is from RNAcentral.
GAUGAACGCUGGCGGCGUGCCUAAUACAUGCAAGUCGAGCGAACAGACGAGGAGCUUGCUCCUCUGACGUUAGCGGCGGACGGGUGAGUAACACGUGGAUAACCUACCUAUAAGACUGGGAUAACUUCGGGAAACCGGCGCUAAUACCGGAUAAUAUCUUGAACCGCAUGGUUCAAUAGUGAAAGACGGUUUUGCUGUCACUUAUAGCUGGAUCCGCGCCGCAUUAGCUAGUUGGUAAGGUAACGGCUUACCAAGGCAACGAUGCGUAGCCGACCUGAGAGGGGGAUCGGCCACACGGGAACUGAGACGCGGUCCAGACUCCUACGGGAGGCAGCAGUAGGGAAUCGUCCGCAAUGGGCGAAAGCCUGACGGAGCAACGCCGCGUGAGAGAUGAAGGUCUUCGGAGCGUAAAACUCUGUUAUGAGGGAAGAACAAAUGUGUAAGUAACUAUGCACGUCUUGACGGUACCUAAUCAGAAAGCCACGGCUAACUACGUG